UUAAGCGACUAAGCGUACACGGUGGAUGCCCUGGCAGUCAGAGGCGAUGAAGGGCGUGCUAAUCUGCGAUAAGCGCCGGUAAGGUGAUAUGAACCGUUAUAACCGGCGAUACCCGAAUGGGGAAACCCAGUGUGAUUCGUCACACUAUCAUUAACUGAAUCCAUAGGUUAAUGAGGCGAACCGGGGGAACUGAAACAUCUAAGUACCCCGAGGAAAAGAAAUCAACCGAGAUUCCCCCAGUAGCGGCGAGCGAACGGGGAGGAGCCCAGAGCCUGAAUCAGCAUGUGUGUUAGUGGAAGCGUCUGGAAAGGCGCGCGAUACAGGGUGACAGCCCCGUACACAAAAGCGCAUGUGCUGUGAGCUCGAUGAGUAGGGCGGGACACGUGGUAUCCUGUCUGAAUAUGGGGGGACCAUCCUCCAAGGCUAAAUACUCCUGACUGACCGAUAGUGAACCAGUACCGUGAGGGAAAGGCGAAAAGAACCCCGGCGAGGGGAGUGAAAAAGAACCUGAAACCGUGUACGUACAAGCAGUGGGAGCNGCUUUGGGGUGGGGUGACUGCGUACCUUUUGUAUAAUGGGUCAGCGACUUAUAUUCUGUAGCAAGGUUAACCGAAUAGGGGAGCCGGAGGGAAACCGAGUCUUAAUUGGGCGUUAAGUUGCAGGGUAUAGACCCGAAACCCGGUGAUCUAGCCAUGGGCAGGUUGAAGGUUGGGUAACACUAACUGGAGGACCGAACCGACUAAUGUUGAAAAAUUAGCGGAUGACCUGUGGCUGGGGGUGAAAGGCCAAUCAAACCGGGAGAUAGCUGGUUCUCCCCGAAAGCUAUUUAGGUAGCGCCUCGUGAAUUCAUCUCCGGGGGUAGAGCACUGUUUCGGCUAGGGGGCCAUCCCGGCUUACCAACCCGAUGCAAACUGCGAAUACCGGAGAAUGUUAUCACGGGAGACACACGGCGGGUGCUAACGUCCGUCGUGAAGAGGGAAACAACCCAGACCGCCAGCUAAGGUCCCAAAGUCAUGGUUAAGUGGGAAACGAUGUGGGAAGGCCCAGACAGCCAGGAUGUUGGCUUAGAAGCAGCCAUCAUUUAAAGAAAGCGUAAUAGCUCACUGGUCGAGUCGGCCUGCGCGGAAGAUGUAACGGGGCUAAACCAUGCACCGAAGCUGCGGCAGCGACGCUUAUGCGUUGUUGGGUAGGGGAGCGUUCUGUAAGCCUGUGAAGGUGGCCUGUGAGGGUUGCUGGAGGUAUCAGAAGUGCGAAUGCUGACAUAAGUAACGAUAAAGCGGGUGAAAAGCCCGCUCGCCGGAAGACCAAGGGUUCCUGUCCAACGUUAAUCGGGGCAGGGUGAGUCGACCCCUAAGGCGAGGCCGAAAGGCGUAGUCGAUGGGAAACGGGUUAAUAUUCCCGUACUUGGUGUUACUGCGAAGGGGGGACGGAGAAGGCUAUGUUGGCCGGGCGACGGUUGUCCCGGUUUAAGCGUGUAGGUGUGUGUUCCAGGUAAAUCCGGUUCACUUUAACACUGAGGCGUGAUGACGAGGCACUACGGUGCUGAAGCAACAAAUGCCCUGCUUCCAGGAAAAGCCUCUAAGCAUCAGGUAACAUCAAAUCGUACCCCAAACCGACACAGGUGGUCAGGUAGAGAAUACCAAGGCGCUUGAGAGAACUCGGGUGAAGGAACUAGGCAAAAUGGUGCCGUAACUUCGGGAGAAGGCACGCUGACAUGUAGGUGAAGUGAUUUACUCAUGGAGCUGAAGUCAGUCGAAGAUACCAGCUGGCUGCAACUGUUUAUUAAAAACACAGCACUGUGCAAACACGAAAGUGGACGUAUACGGUGUGACGCCUGCCCGGUGCCGGAAGGUUAAUUGAUGGGGUCAGCGCAAGCGAAGCUCCUGAUCGAAGCCCCGGUAAACGGCGGCCGUAACUAUAACGGUCCUAAGGUAGCGAAAUUCCUUGUCGGGUAAGUUCCGACCUGCACGAAUGGCGUAAUGAUGGCCAGGCUGUCUCCACCCGAGACUCAGUGAAAUUGAACUCGCUGUGAAGAUGCAGUGUACCCGCGGCAAGACGGAAAGACCCCGUGAACCUUUACUAUAGCUUGACACUGAACAUUGAGCCUUGAUGUGUAGGAUAGGUGGGAGGCUUUGAAGUGUGGACGCCAGUCUGCAUGGAGCCGACCUUGAAAUACCACCCUUUAAUGUUUGAUGUUCUAACGUGGACCCGUGAUCCGGGUUGCGGACAGUGUCUGGUGGGUAGUUUGACUGGGGCGGUCUCCUCCUAAAGAGUAACGGAGGAGCACGAAGGUUGGCUAAUCCUGGUCGGACAUCAGGAGGUUAGUGCAAUGGCAUAAGCCAGCUUGACUGCGAGCGUGACGGCGCGAGCAGGUGCGAAAGCAGGUCAUAGUGAUCCGGUGGUUCUGAAUGGAAGGGCCAUCGCUCAACGGAUAAAAGGUACUCCGGGGAUAACAGGCUGAUACCGCCCAAGAGUUCAUAUCGACGGCGGUGUUUGGCACCUCGAUGUCGGCUCAUCACAUCCUGGGGCUGAAGUAGGUCCCAAGGGUAUGGCUGUUCGCCAUUUAAAGUGGUACGCGAGCUGGGUUUAGAACGUCGUGAGACAGUUCGGUCCCUAUCUGCCGUGGGCGCUGGAGAACUGAGGGGGGCUGCUCCUAGUACGAGAGGACCGGAGUGGACGCAUCACUGGUGUUCGGGUUGUCAUGCCAAUGGCACUGCCCGGUAGCUAAAUGCGGAAGAGAUAAGUGCUGAAAGCAUCUAAGCACGAAACUUGCCCCGAGAUGAGUUCUCCCUGAGACUUAGAGUCUCCUGAAGGAACGUUGAAGACGACGACGUUGAUAGGCCGGGUGUGUAAGCGCAGCGAUGCGUUGAGCUAACCGGUACUAAUGAACCGUGAGGCUUAACCUU
RNAcentral lists this ribosomal RNA (2906 nucleotides) under Salmonella enterica subsp. enterica serovar Weltevreden. RNAcentral describes it as "bacterial LSU rRNA". It matches the Rfam family "Bacterial large subunit ribosomal RNA". Lineage: Bacteria; Pseudomonadati; Pseudomonadota; Gammaproteobacteria; Enterobacterales; Enterobacteriaceae. The record is from RNAcentral.